UACGUAGGAUCCGAGCGUUGUCCGGAAUUACUGGGUGUAAAGGGCGUGUAGGUGGGUCUCUCAGUCGGUGGUGAAAUCCUGCAGCUCAACUGCAGAAUUGCUUCCGAUACUGGAGGUCUUGAGUGCGGCAGAGGGAGAUGGAAUUCAUGGUGUAGCGGUGAAAUGUGUAGAUAUCAUGAAGAACACCGGUAGCGAAGGCGGUCUCCUGGUCCGUUACUGACACUGAGGCGCGAAAGCGUGGGGAGCAAACAGG
Molecule: ribosomal RNA, 253 nt
Filed under: uncultured bacterium
Lineage: Bacteria
Description: partial 16S ribosomal RNA
Rfam family: Bacterial small subunit ribosomal RNA
Source: RNAcentral